UUUCCGUAGGUGAACCUGCGGAAGGAUCAUUGUCGAAACCUGCCCAGCAGAACGACCCGUGAACAUGUUAUCUCACAUCGGGAGGGGAAUCGGCUUCGGUCACCUCUCCUCAUCGGUGGGUGCUCCUCGUGGGUGCCUUCCCGGUAAAACAAUGAACCCCGGCGCGGAACGCGCCAAGGAAAAUGUACAAUAGAGUGCCCACCCAACCUCGGUUUUCCGGUGGAUGGGUGUGGCACCUGACUUGAGUAAUUAAACGACUCUCGGCAACGGAUAUCUCGGCUCUCGCAUCGAUGAAGAACGUAGCGAAAUGCGAUACUUGGUGUGAAUUGCAGAAUCCCGUGAACCAUCGAGUCUUUGAACGCAAGUUGCGCCUGAAGCCAUUAGGCCGAAGGCACGUCUGCCUGGGCGUCACGCAUCGCGUCUCCCCCUCCCAUACCGAGUGGAGGGGAGGGGGAGGAGGAUGGCCUCCUGUGCCUUACUGGGUGCGGCUGGCCUAAAAAUGGAGUCCUCGGUAAUGAGUUGCCGCGGCGAUUGGUGGAUGACAAGGUCUCGGCCGUGGUUUGCAUCGCGUCGUGUGUGCACAUUGCCAGAUGGAGCUCGAAGGACCCUUGUUGAGACUCGUGCUCAAAACCUUUGCGACCCCAGGUCAGGCGGGGCUACCCGCUGAGUUUAA
RNAcentral lists this ribosomal RNA (673 nucleotides) under Phytolacca acinosa (food pokeweed). RNAcentral's name for it is "eukaryotic LSU rRNA". The stretch from base 256 to 411 matches the Rfam family "5.8S ribosomal RNA". Lineage: Eukaryota; Viridiplantae; Streptophyta; Magnoliopsida; Caryophyllales; Phytolaccaceae. The record is from RNAcentral.